Molecule: ribosomal RNA, 519 nt
Filed under: uncultured eukaryote
Lineage: Eukaryota
Description: SSU rRNA
Rfam family: Eukaryotic small subunit ribosomal RNA
Source: RNAcentral
AGGGCACCACCAGGAGUGGAGCCUGCGGCUUAAUUUGACUCAACACGGGAAAACUUACCCGGCCCGGACACUGGAAGGAUUGACAGAUUGAGAGCUCUUUCUUAAUUCGGUGGGUGGUGGUGCAUGGCCGUUCUUAGUUGGUGGAGCGAUUUGUCUGGUUAAUUCCGAUAACGAACGAGACUCUGGCCUAUUAAAUAGACGGCGUAUCGAAACGUACGUCGAGCUUCUUAGAGGGACAAGCGGCGUCUAGCCGCAUGAAAUAGAGCAAUAACAGGUCUGUGAUGCCCUUAGAUGUCCGGGGCUGCACGCGCGCUACACUGAAAGAAUCAGUGUGCGUUACGCCUAGUUCGGAAGAACCGGGUAACCCAAGUAAAUUCUUUCGUGCUUGGGAUAGGGAAUUGCAAUUAUUUCCCUUAAACGAGGAAUUCCCAGUAAAUGCGGGUCAUAAGCUCGCGUUGAUUACGUCCCUGCCCUUUGUACACACCGCCCGUCGCUACUACCGAUUGGAUGACUUAGUGA